RNAcentral lists this ribosomal RNA (551 nucleotides) under uncultured bacterium. RNAcentral describes it as "bacterial SSU rRNA". It matches the Rfam family "Bacterial small subunit ribosomal RNA", at positions 355 to 897 of the family's 1533-position model. The record is from RNAcentral.
UGGGGAAUUUUGGACAAUGGGCGCAAGCCUGAUCCAGCCAUGCCGCGUGUGUGAAGAAGGCCUUCGGGUUGUAAAGCACUUUCGGACGGAACGAAAUCGCGCGGACGAACAUUCCGCGUGGACGACGGUACCGUAAGAAGAAGCACCGGCUAACUACGUGCCAGCAGCCGCGGUAAUACGUAGGGUGCGAGCGUUAAUCGGAAUUACUGGGCGUAAAGGGUGCGCAGGCGGCCCCGCAAGUCAGACGUGAAAUCCCCGAGCUCAACUUGGGAAUGGCGUUUGAAACUACGGGGCUGGAGUGUGGCAGAGGGAGGUGGAAUUCCACGUGUAGCGGUGAAAUGCGUAGAGAUGUGGAGGAACACCAAUGGCGAAGGCAGCCUCCUGGGCCAACACUGACGCUCAUGCACGAAAGCGUGGGGAGCAAACAGGAUUAGAUACCCUGGUAGUCCACGCCCUAAACGAUGAUGACUAGUUGUUGGAGGAGUUAAAUCCUUUAGUAACGCAGCUAACGCGUGAAGUCAUCCGCCUGGGGAGUACGGUCGCAAGAUUAA